ACGAUGCAAUGUUCCUUUACCUUUUUUAGAAGGAAUAGUGAUAUGAUCAAUACUGUCACGAUGAAUGUCUGUAAUAUUAGAAACGCCGGAAAGUUCUUCAAGCUCCUUAAUGGAACCAAUGCAAACGACUUCUUCGUAGUCAUCACUAACCCAAAGUGGGAUAGGGGUACCCCAGUAUCUGUUACGGGAAAUGUUCCAGUCACGAGCAUUCUUCAACCAAUUCGCAAAACGUUUAUCACGAAUGUUUUGAGGGACCCAGUGAGUGCUCAUGACAUUUUCAACCAUCUCAUUAGUGAUCUCCUUCACGCGAACAAACCAACUGGGAACGGCACGAUAAAUUAGAGGUGUAUCGGAACGCCAGCAAAAUGGAUAACUAUGGAAAAUUUGACUA
This is a non-coding RNA of Schizosaccharomyces pombe (fission yeast), 391 nucleotides long. Lineage: Eukaryota; Fungi; Ascomycota; Schizosaccharomycetes; Schizosaccharomycetales; Schizosaccharomycetaceae. The record is from the annotation of a GenBank genome assembly.